RNAcentral lists this ribosomal RNA (440 nucleotides) under uncultured bacterium. RNAcentral describes it as "partial 16S ribosomal RNA". It matches the Rfam family "Bacterial small subunit ribosomal RNA", at positions 338 to 795 of the family's 1533-position model. The record is from RNAcentral.
CCUACGGUGAGCAGCAGUGGGGGAUAUUGCACAAUGGGGGAAACCCUGAUGCAGCGACGCCGCGUGUGGGAAGACGGUCCUCUGGAUUGUAAACCACUGUCCCCAGGGGCGAAGAUGACGGUACCUGGGGAGGAAGCUCCGGCUAACUACGUGACAGCAGCCGCGGUAAUACGUAGGGAGCGAGCGUUGUCCGGAAUUACUGUGUGUAAAGGGAGCGUAGGCGGGACUGCAAGUUGGGUGUCAAAUCUACCGGCUCAACCGGUAGCCGCACUCAAAACUGCAGUGCUUGAGUGAAUUAGAGGCAGGCGGAAUUCCUAGUGUAGCGGUGAAAUGCGUAGAUAUUAGGAGGAACACCAGUGGCGAAGGCGGCCUGCUGGGCUUUUACUGACGCUGAGGCUCGAAAGUGUGGGGAGCAAACAGGAUUAGAUACCCCGGUAGUC